RNAcentral lists this ribosomal RNA (450 nucleotides) under uncultured bacterium. RNAcentral's name for it is "partial 16S ribosomal RNA". It matches the Rfam family "Bacterial small subunit ribosomal RNA", at positions 354 to 796 of the family's 1533-position model. The record is from RNAcentral.
GUUAGGAAUAUUGGACAAUGGGCGAAAGCCUGAUCCAGCCAUGCCGCGUGAACGAUGAAGGCCUUCGGGUUGUAAACUGCUUUUGUACGGAACGAAAAGCCUCUGGUUAAUACCCGGGGGUCAUGACGGUACCGUAAGAAUAAGCACCGGCUAACUACGUGCCAGCAGCCGCGGUAAUACGUAGGGUGCGAGCGUUAAUCGGAAUUACUGGGCGUAAAGCGUGCGCAGGCGGUGAUGUAAGACAGUUGUGAAAUCCCCGGGCUCAACCUGUGAACUGCAGCUGUGACUGCAUUGCUGGAGUGCGGCAGAGGGGGAUGUAAUUCCGCGUGUAGCAGUGAAAUGCGUAGAUAUGCGGAGGAACACCGAUGGCGAAGGCAAUCCCCUGGGCCUGCACUGACGCUCAUGCACGAAAGCGUGGGGAGCAAACAGGAUUAGAUACCCGGGUAGUCC